UACAGAGGUCUCGAGCGUUAGGCGGAAUCACUGGGCUUAAAGCGUGUGUAGGCGGAUCGUUAAGUACCUUGUGAAAUCCCACGGCUUAACCGUGGAACUGCUUGGUAUACUGGCGGUCUUGAGCCAGCUAGGGGCUACCGGAACAAAUGGUGGAGCGGUGAAACGCGUAGAUAUCAUUUGGAACGCCAAUGGUGAAAACAGGUAGCUGGGGCUGUGCUGACGCUGAGACACGAAAGCCAGGGGAGCAAACGGG
Molecule: ribosomal RNA, 253 nt
Filed under: uncultured bacterium
Lineage: Bacteria
Description: partial 16S ribosomal RNA
Rfam family: Bacterial small subunit ribosomal RNA
Source: RNAcentral